AUUGAACGCUGGCGGCGUGCUUAACACAUGCAAGUCGAUCGGUAACAGGUGUAGCAAUACAUGCUGACGAGAGGCGGACGGGUGAGGAACGCUUGGGAAUCUGCCUAUCAGCGGGGACAACCCGGGAACGUCGGCGUAAUACCGCAUACGCUCUACGGAGGAAAGCCGGGACCGCAAGGCCUCACGCUAUACGAGCGGCCGAUGUCGGAUUAGCUAGUUGGUAGGGUAAAGGCCUACCCAAGGCGACGAUCCGUAGCGGGUCUGAGAGGAUGAUCCGCCACACUGGCACUGAGACACGGGCCAGACUCCUUACGGGAGGCAGCAG
RNAcentral lists this ribosomal RNA (325 nucleotides) under uncultured bacterium. RNAcentral's name for it is "bacterial SSU rRNA". It matches the Rfam family "Bacterial small subunit ribosomal RNA", at positions 30 to 354 of the family's 1533-position model. The record is from RNAcentral.